CCUACGGGAGACAGCAGUGAGGAAUAUUGGUCAAUGGGCGCUAGCCUGAACCAGCCAAGUAGCGUGAAGGAUGACUGCCCUAUGGGUUGUAAACUUCUUUUAUAUGGGAAUAAAGUGCAGUAUGUAUACUGCUUUUCAUGUACCUUAUGAAUAAGGAUCGGCUAACUCCGUGCCAGCAGCCGCGGUAAUACGGAGGAUCCGAGCGUUAUCCGGAUUUAGUGGGUUUAAAGGGAGCGUAGGCGGGUUGUUACGUCAUUUGUGAAAGUUUGCGGCUCAACCGUAAAAUUGCAGUUGAUACUGGCAUCCUUGAGUACAGUAGAGGUAGGCGGAAUUCGUGGUGUAGCGGUGAAAUGCUUAGAUAUCACGAAGAACUCCGAUUGCGAAGGCAGCCUGCUGGACUGUAACUGACGCUGAUGCUCGAAAGUGUGGGUAUCAAACAGGAUUAGAUACCCUUGUAGUC
RNAcentral lists this ribosomal RNA (460 nucleotides) under uncultured bacterium. RNAcentral describes it as "partial 16S ribosomal RNA". It matches the Rfam family "Bacterial small subunit ribosomal RNA", at positions 338 to 795 of the family's 1533-position model. The record is from RNAcentral.